GAUUAAGCCAUGCAUGUCUAAGUACAACUGAUUACACAUGGCGACUCACGUCGUCAUACCAAGUGAAACCACAGACGGCUCAUUAAACCAGAUAUAACUCCCAGGAUCUGUAGCACCUUUUCGUUGCAUACUUGGAUAACUGUGGUAAUUCUAGAGCUAAUACAUGCCUUUAGAGACUGCGCCAGCAAUGGCGGAGCGCUUUUAUUAGACCAAAACCCUUGGGCACUUGCUUCGGCUUGUGCCACAACAAGCGGUGGUGAAUCUAGAUAACCACGCUGAGCGCAUGGUCCCUCUUUUUUGAGGCUGUAUCCUCCCCAGGAGAGCCAUUAUAAUAGAGAAAGGGACCUGCGCCGCAUCCUCCAAGUGUCUGACUUAUCAGCUGUCGACUUUAGGCCAAGCUCCUAAAGUGGCAAUAACGGGUAACGGGGAAUCAGGGUUCGAUUCCGGAGAGGGAGCCUGAGAAACGGCUACCACAUCUAAGGAAGGCAGCAGGCGCGCAAAUUACCCACUCCCGGCACGGGGAGGUAGUGACGAAAAAUACCGUUGCGGGUCUCACUCGAGGCCCCGCAAUUGGAAUGAGUACACUUUAAAUCCUUGCAUGAGGAUCGAGUGGAGGGCAAGUCUGGUGCCAGCAGCCGCGGUAAUUCCAGCUCCACUAGCGUAUAUUAAAGCUGCUGCGGUUAAAAAGCUCGUAGUUAGCUCUCUGUCCCGGACCGGCGGAGGUUAAACCCUGAGCGGCACCUUCCGUCCGGCCUCCGAGCUAUAAACCGUGUGCUGCUUUACGCGUAACGCUCGGGAUGCCCUUCACCGGGUGUCCCUUGCGGGCCACAGUUCCACUUUGAACAAAUAAGAGUGCUCAGAGCAGGCAAAGUCCCAUGCCUGAAUGGUGGUGCAUAGAAUGGAGAAAGAGGUCCUCGGCUCUAUUUUAUUGGUUUUCUGAGCCAGAGGAAAUGAUUAAUAGGGACAGACGGGGGCAUUCGUACUGCGACGAUAGAGGUGAAAUUCUUAGACCGUCGCAUGACGAACCACUGCGAAAGCAUCUGCCAAGGAUGUUUUCAUUAAUCAAGAACGAAAGUGAGAGGUUCGAAGGCGAUCAGAUACCGCCCUAGUUCUAACCCUAAACGAUACCAGCCAGCGAUCCGCCCGAGUUAAUCCCAUGACUCGGCGGGCAGCUUUCCGGGAAACCAAAGCUUUUGGGUUCCGGGGGAAGUAUGGUUGCAAAGCUGAAACUUAAAGGAAUUGACGGAAGGGCACCACCAGGAGUGGAGCCUGCGGCUCAAUUUGACUCAACACGGGGAAUCUUACCAGGCCCAGACACUGGAAGGAUUGACAGAAUGAAGGCUCUUUCUCGAUUCGGUGGGUGGUGGUGCAUGGCCGUUCUUAGUUGGUGGAGUGAUUUGUCUGGUUAAUUCCGAUAACGAACGAGACUCUUGCCUACUAACUAGUCGAUGGGCUCAGAAAGACCGCAGUCUCCCUUGCGCAAGCGAGGGCCGCCUCACGGCGGUUUAUUCUGCGGUCGAUUGUCCACUGUGAAUUGUAUGACGGAAGUAGCCAUGGCGGAAGGGUUUGCAAUAUCGGGGUGGCUGUGGAUGGGCUGGCGGUGGCCUCGUGUCCCGUCGGUCCUCCCUCCCCUCGUGAGCUCCUUCUCCAACCGUGGUCUUCCAAUGUCAGAGCCCAUGGAGAUAUCUUCUUAGAGGGAUAAGCGGCAGCAAUACAAGUCUUAGCCGCACGAGAUUGAGCCAUAACAGGUCUGUGAUGCCCUUAGAUGUUCUGGGCCGCACGCGCGCUACAAUGGAGAGCGCAGCAAGCUAUCCCCUUCUCCGGCAGGAGUGGGUAACCUCUUCAAAGCUGUCCCUAAAGGGGACUGGGGUUUGAAAUUGUGCCCCAUGAACGAGGAAUUCCCAGUAGGCGCAAUUCACCAGAUUGCACCGAUUUAGUCCCUGCCCUUUGUACACACCGCCCGUCGCUACUACCGAUUGAAUGGCCUAGUGAGGGCAUUGGACUGGCGCCCUUGGAGCGGUCCCUUCUCUCUCCUCGUGGGAGGAAGGGGUUUACACUGCUCCUUGGGUAUAAGACGGACAGAUGUCCAAGCUGGGUCAUUUAGAGGAAGUAAAAGUCGUAACAAUGUUUCCGUAU
RNAcentral lists this ribosomal RNA (2136 nucleotides) under Deosergestes corniculum. RNAcentral describes it as "SSU rRNA". It matches the Rfam family "Eukaryotic small subunit ribosomal RNA". The record is from RNAcentral. Lineage: Eukaryota; Metazoa; Arthropoda; Malacostraca; Decapoda; Sergestidae.